Molecule: long non-coding RNA, 1508 nt
Organism: Hydra vulgaris (swiftwater hydra)
Lineage: Eukaryota; Metazoa; Cnidaria; Hydrozoa; Anthoathecata; Hydridae
Source: RefSeq, a predicted model, not a curated record
GAAGAUGAAAAGUGCAUUUGUUUAUGGCUACUUUCUUAUUUGUUUAUGGAUACUUCUGACCUUAAAUUCAAUAAAGCAGUAAAAUCUGCUGAACCUCCCAAAUCUAUUUGGAAACUUUUUUUUGUUAGAGUGCUUCAGUACAGUAUUCUUACAGUAAGCUUAUUUUACUUUUAAUAGUUUUAUUUGUUCAAAAAAAAUGCAGUUUUAAUUUUUAUUAUCUUAAAAGCACACGUGAAAUUGUUAAUUCCAAGUUGGAUAUUGUAGAGGACUGCUCAGAACUUCCAACAGUAUCCGAUAUUGACGCAAAAAAGGAAAGCGAAAAGGUUAAUUUUUUUAUUCUAACUUCAAUUUAUUUGAUUAUUUCAGUUAAUUGUUAACAUCAUGUUUAAAAUAAUGCUAUGUGUAACAAUAUUCUAUGUUAUGGUGUUCAUUUUAUCUAUUGGUAGUAUAAAAUUUAUCUAUUGGUAAUAUAAAAGUUUAUUUUAUCAAUAGAUAAAAUAAAUACCAAAAGAUAAUAACCCUGUAACACAACAGUAGUCUCUGAAAAUAAAAAGGGUUAUAAACUAAUUUAUGUCAUUACCAGUUUUAUGGAAUGAAUUGUGUGAUUCAGAUUCCAAUCAUACAAAAUCCGAAAACGGAAAGAAGUUUUCGGUAUCAAUUUCAACCUCAAACCUGAAGUUUCCUACUCCUCCUCAGUUGCAAUCCGAAAUUCAAAAUGCAUCAUCUACUAUCUGCUCUCUCUCGUUAUUAUUUUUAAAUGAUUUAUCUUUUUGUAAAAAAGACAACCAAACUACACUACCAUUAUCAAUAUUAAUGCCAGUUAGUAUAUAACACUGCAAGUAGAGCAGUUACAAUAGCACUGCAAGUAGAGCAGUUAUCACCUGAUUUAGUCAAUUGUCAUGUUGGAGGUGUGUUACAUUUAUUUAUGCAUUAGCAAAUGAUGAAUUUGUUUGUUUGUUCAUAUGAACUUAAUAUAUAUAGAAAAUAUUUUCAUACUAUUAUUACUAUAGUUUUUGUUAAAGAAUUAUUAUGCGUGUUUAAAAUAUAUAUAUUUACUUUAUUUUUCUUCGCAUUUAGGAAAUGAUCAUCGAAAACUAAUAUUAUUAGAAGAGAUUAAACAAAAAAAUCAAAAUAUAAUUUUUCUUCUGCAACAAUUAUCAGCACAACAGCAGUGUGGUAAUAUAAAAACAAGUUUUGAUGAGUUUGGGUUUCGUGUUUCAUCAAUGGAACAUUAACAAAAAUUAGAUACAGAUUGCCUUGACAAUGACCUCCCAGGAUAGUUUAUGCUGUUCGGCGUAAUCCUAUAACAUGUCGCGGUACGGAUGCAAGGUUGCUUGUGCCAGUAAAGGAUGGCUUCGAUUCGCGAAAUUCCUGUGGAGGGAUGAGAAGAAACAUCAUUUUAACGAUUUUAGUUAUAUACUUUUAUAUAUAAUUUAUGAUUUUUCUGUUUGUGUGUAAUAGUUUAAAUUAUUUUGUAACGAAUAAACAUUUAACUAGAAACCAACAAA